RNAcentral lists this transfer RNA (76 nucleotides) under bacterium. Its description in RNAcentral is "tRNA-Val". It matches the Rfam family "tRNA". Rfam says of the family: Transfer RNA (tRNA) molecules are approximately 80 nucleotides in length. Their secondary structure includes four short double-helical elements and three loops (D, anti-codon, and T loops). RNAcentral also lists the same sequence under 2 other names. The record is from RNAcentral.
GGGCGUUUAGCUCAGUUGGUAGAGCGUCUCCCUUACAAGGAGAGGGUCAUAAGUUCGAGUCUUAUAACGCCCACCA